Long non-coding RNA from Phyllostomus discolor (pale spear-nosed bat), 110 nucleotides. RefSeq lists it as uncharacterized. The transcript has 3 exons. The record is from RefSeq and is a predicted model, not a curated record. Lineage: Eukaryota; Metazoa; Chordata; Mammalia; Chiroptera; Phyllostomidae.
UUUAUGACCAUUACUUUGAACUCAAUAUCUGGUUGUUCACCUGCCUCUAUUUCAUUUAACAUUUUUUCUGAGGUGUCCUCCUUUCCUUUCAUUUGGGGAUUGUUUCUUUG